AGUGAACGCUGGCGGUAGGCCUAACACAUGCAAGUCGAACGGAAGCACAGUAAGAGCUUGCUCUUACGGGUGGCGAGUGGCGGACGGGUGAGGAAUACAUCGGAAUCUACUUUUUCGUGGGGGAUAACGUAGGGAAACUUACGCUAAUACCGCAUACGACCUACGGGUGAAAGCAGGGGAUCUUCGGACCUUGCGCGAUUGAAUGAGCCGAUGUCGGAUUAGCUAGUUGGCGGGGUAAAGGCCCACCAAGGCGACGAUCCGUAGCUGGUCUGAGAGGAUGAUCAGCCACACUGGAACGUAGACACGGUCCAGACUCCUACGGUAGGCAGCAGUGGGGAAUAUUGGACAAUGGGCGCAAGCCUGAUCCAGCCGUACCGCGUGGGUGAAGGAGGCCUUCGGGUUGUAAAGCCCUUUUGUUGGGAGAGAAAAGCAGCAGGUUAAUACCCCGCUGUUCUGACGGUACCCAAAGAAUAAGCACCGGCUAACUUCGUG
RNAcentral lists this ribosomal RNA (492 nucleotides) under uncultured bacterium. RNAcentral describes it as "partial 16S ribosomal RNA". It matches the Rfam family "Bacterial small subunit ribosomal RNA", at positions 29 to 507 of the family's 1533-position model. The record is from RNAcentral.